GAAAAAAUCACCUAAAUACACCAAAACAAGGGCAGGAAAAGUAAUAAGAGUUUUACUAACAAUUAUGCAUUACGACCAUAAUAAAAGAUGAUAUAUAUAACUCUAAAACCAAGGACAAUGGUCACAAUGUAUCUUCUUCUAAUAACUAUAAAUAAAAGUUCACCAUACAUAUGAAAACUUGAAAAAUUGAUAAAACGUUCACAACAAACUCAUAUACAUGCAUAAGUUGUUAUUCUUUCACUCUUUAAAGCUUCUAGUGUUUGAGAAAUAUACUUUUAAAAAAAUUGUUAAAAAGAGUG
Molecule: long non-coding RNA, 299 nt
Filed under: Vigna radiata
Lineage: Eukaryota; Viridiplantae; Streptophyta; Magnoliopsida; Fabales; Fabaceae
Description: long non-coding RNA (VRAD_LNC017385)
Source: RNAcentral